Long non-coding RNA from Hippocampus comes (tiger tail seahorse), 756 nucleotides. RefSeq lists it as uncharacterized. The record is from RefSeq and is a predicted model, not a curated record. The transcript is spliced from 3 exons. Lineage: Eukaryota; Metazoa; Chordata; Actinopteri; Syngnathiformes; Syngnathidae.
CCGGCCCGGGUCCAAAUGGGAAAUCUGCCAAUGUGACCGCAAUGUGGACGCCCGGAUUUGUCCUGACACGCCCACUUUUUUUCCAACUUCAAAUCCGCGUGUGAGGGGGAACUGGAACAUUUUCUGGCCUCUCAAUCUUGUACAGGAAGACCAUUGAAAAAGAAGAAACAGACAGCCUGUCAGCGAAUAAGGACAGGGACUAUAUUUCCCAGCUGCAGUCAGUUCUCGUACUUCAAGAUGGGGCUAGGUGCCUCUGUUGCCCUUGGAUGGCUCGUCUUCAAGUCCAACUUGGCAGAGAAAUGACGACGCUUUGAUGGUCUGAAAGUCAACCUGACUCGCUCCAUAAAUCCUGACUGGAAGGCUUUGAAAAAGAGCAACGCUUCGAAAAAGGCAGGUACUGUGCACACGUGCCGCCAGACAGCAGUGCAUGUGUGAGGUAUCACAUGUAAAGUGCUGUCACAUAAAAACACACAUUUGGAUGUCACAAGUGCAAACUUUUGAACGGUGACAAGCAUUUUGGCAUUUGUGGGUCCGGCGUUACCGGGAGGAGAACCGCUAAAGUUGCCAACACGUCGUAAUACGCUCUCACAUUCAUACCCGGGGACAAUUUCGAGUGUCCCGGCAACCUGCCAUGCAUGUUUUUGGAAUGCGGGAGGAAACCGGCGUACCGGGAGAAAAGCCACACAGGCACGUGGCGAACACAGAAAAGCCGCCGCGGGAAUAAAUUCUCCGCGCUUCCAGCCAGGCGACCGUGCU